Molecule: ribosomal RNA, 749 nt
Filed under: Streptomyces sp. 527(2010)
Lineage: Bacteria; Bacillati; Actinomycetota; Actinomycetes; Kitasatosporales; Streptomycetaceae
Description: bacterial SSU rRNA
Rfam family: Bacterial small subunit ribosomal RNA
Source: RNAcentral
GUGGAUUAGUGGCGAACGGGUGAGUAACACGUUGGGCAAUCUGCCCUUCACUCUGGGACAAGCCCUGGAAACGGGGUCUAAUACCGGAUAACACUCUGUCCCGCAUGGGACGGGGUUAAAAGCUCCGGCGGUGAAGGAUGAGCCCGCGGCCUAUCAGCUUGUUGGUGAGGUAGUGGCUCACCAAGGCGACGACGGGUAGCCGGCCUGAGAGGGCGACCGGCCACACUGGGACUGAGACACGGCCCAGACUCCUACGGGAGGCAGCAGUGGGGAAUAUUGCACAAUGGGCGAAAGCCUGAUGCAGCGACGCCGCGUGAGGGAUGACGGCCUUCGGGUUGUAAACCUCUUUCAGCAGGGAAGAAGCGAAAGUGACGGUACCUGCAGAAGAAGCGCCGGCUAACUACGUGCCAGCAGCCGCGGUAAUACGUAGGGCGCAAGCGUUGUCCGGAAUUAUUGGGCGUAAAGAGCUCGUAGGCGGUCUGUCACGUCGGAUGUGAAAGCCCGGGGCUUAACCCCGGGUCUGCAUUCGAUACGGGCAGACUAGAGUGUGGUAGGGGAGAUCGGAAUUCCUGGUGUAGCGGUGAAAUGCGCAGAUAUCAGGAGGAACACCGGUGGCGAAGGCGGAUCUCUGGGCCAUUACUGACGCUGAGGAGCGAAAGCGUGGGGAGCGAACAGGAUUAGAUACCCUGGUAGUCCACGCCGUAAACGGUGGGAACUAGGUGUUGGCGACAUUCCACGUCGUCGGUGCC